UGACUGGAUGAACAAGGUGAUGGCCGA
This 27-nucleotide non-coding RNA is filed under the name Mus musculus (house mouse). The record is from RNAcentral. Lineage: Eukaryota; Metazoa; Chordata; Mammalia; Rodentia; Muridae.